AACGAACGCUGGCGGCAUGCCUAACACAUGCAAGUCGAACGAGACCUUCGGGUCUAGUGGCGCACGGGUGCGUAACGCGUGGGAACCUGCCCUUAGGUUCGGAAUAACUCCCCGAAAGGGGUGCUAAUACCGGAUAAUGUCUUCGGACCAAAGAUUUAUCGCCUUUGGAUGGGCCCGCGUUGGAUUAGCUAGUUGGUAGGGUAAAAGCCUACCAAGGCGACGAUCCAUAGCUGGUCUGAGAGGAUGAUCAGCCACACUGGGACUGAGACACGGCCCAGACUCCUACGGGAAGCAGCAGUGGGGAAUAUUGGACGAUGGGCGAAAGCCUGAUCCAGCAAUGCCGCGUGAGUGAUGAAGGCCUUAGGGUUGUAAAGCUCUUUUACCCGGAAUGAUAAUGACAGUACCGGGAGAAUAAGCUCCGGCUAACUCCGUG
RNAcentral lists this ribosomal RNA (433 nucleotides) under uncultured bacterium. RNAcentral's name for it is "partial 16S ribosomal RNA". It matches the Rfam family "Bacterial small subunit ribosomal RNA", at positions 29 to 507 of the family's 1533-position model. The record is from RNAcentral.